This is a long non-coding RNA of Helianthus annuus (common sunflower), 167 nucleotides long. RefSeq lists it as uncharacterized. The record is from RefSeq and is a predicted model, not a curated record. The transcript is spliced from 3 exons. NCBI's taxonomy places the organism in Eukaryota, Viridiplantae, Streptophyta, Magnoliopsida, Asterales, Asteraceae.
CACCUCAGUGAAAUGAUCAUAAGUUUGACGCCUAACGAGCUAGGUGGAGGCUUGGGAAAGGAAGCGGGUCAAACAAAUCAAGAAUGGAGGAAAAACACAAUUCGGAUGCAAAGUACACUAUGGGAUGCCGGAAGACGAUCAAGCUCAACGAAGAACCGAACACGAUA